RNAcentral lists this unclassified non-coding RNA (246 nucleotides) under Hevea brasiliensis (rubber tree). Lineage: Eukaryota; Viridiplantae; Streptophyta; Magnoliopsida; Malpighiales; Euphorbiaceae. The record is from RNAcentral.
GCCACCACUUGAUGCCCCACAUCAGUUGCGGAAGCAUGAAUUGACUCCCUACUAAGAAGGAGCAUCAGGAAGCACGCCCUUUUCUUCACUCUUCCUUUAUGGAAUACAUUGUAAUGUCGAUACUCAUUCCAAUGUCUCUACUUCCCUCCAUUCCUCGUGAAAUAGUGGAAGAGCUGGAAGCUCAUGGGAUCGAUCAGUGUUUAUGGUAAUGAGUUUGACACACUCAAACUUGAAUGUUCUUGCGUG